Long non-coding RNA from Daphnia carinata, 746 nucleotides. RefSeq lists it as uncharacterized. NCBI's taxonomy places the organism in Eukaryota, Metazoa, Arthropoda, Branchiopoda, Diplostraca, Daphniidae. The record is from RefSeq and is a predicted model, not a curated record. The transcript has 4 exons.
UUUCAGUUAAUUGUAUGCCAUUUGCAUUUAAUUGAGCAGCGUGGCUGGAGAAAACUGCGUGGCUGGAGGAGCAAUUGAAAAAUGGAUAAGAUAAUAAAACAACAAAAUGAUCAAAUUAUGAAGCUGCAGGCCCAGUUAUUGGAACAACACAAAAUAUUAGAUAACAACAAAGGUAAGGAUGGUAGGCCUAAUACGUAAUGAUUCUAUUUAUUUGCUUUUAUUCAUUCGGGUUUUGUAGCUCAAAUUUUGAGUCUACAAGCUCAGCUAGGGGAAAAGAACAAAUUGGAACGGAACAGUUUCCAAACAGUGAAGGAGGUUUUUCAAAACUCAUUCCUAACUGAACGUGAGGAUGAGUUGGCAUUAGGUGAACACAGUCAGUUAUUCAGUCCACCACCUGACAGUGUGUUAAAUUUAAAUUCUGUUAGUGCUGCACUAAAAGAAUCGUUAGUAAUAAGUCCAUGCAGCGAAGGAACUGAAGAAUUGUGGUACUGUAUUUGGGCGGAAAAUGGGUGUGGUAUGGAAACACAGAAAUGGCAUGAGUUCAACCUAAAACAUGGAUUAGAAUUUUAGCGGGGGGAUCAAGUCAAGUCUGGAAGUGUUACAGGAUGGAAGAGUGAGCCUACAGAUGAAAAAACAGAGAGUGCAUUACCAUUAAGGUGUGAGGUAAAUUAAUAGAGUAAUGCAAAUUGCCUAAUGAGAAGUACCAUCUUGUGUUAAUGAAUCCAGCACAACAGCAAUCCUUUAUA